Cucumis sativus (cucumber) is the source of this 1071-nucleotide long non-coding RNA. RefSeq lists it as uncharacterized. The record is from RefSeq and is a predicted model, not a curated record. The transcript has 2 exons. Lineage: Eukaryota; Viridiplantae; Streptophyta; Magnoliopsida; Cucurbitales; Cucurbitaceae.
UGGUGAAUUCUUCAGAGAUGAGAAGGGUGUGAAGUUCUUCAAGGGAGAUGGUACCACUUCGAGUUUGGAUUGACGUGCGAAAGGUGUUGAAGGUUGCAAGAAGUCCAUUUAAGAUGGAGUUUUCUUUAUGGUGUAAAGGGCAGAUCGAAGAUCAAGAAUAUUGGAUCUGGUGUUGCAGGAGUACCUCUUUUCUAGAGAGAACCACAAUGCUUUUGAUGAGGUUGUGCCGACUACAUGAGCAAGAGCCGAAGGGGAUAAGGUUGCGUUGAUGAGGGUGAUAAAAGCUUGGUCACAAAAGAGCCAACGAAGAUGCUCAAGAUUUAUUUCAAGGAUGGUUCCAGCAGAUGUUGAAGGUAAAAAUUUGGGAGGGCAGGGAAGAGAAUUGUCAAUGUGACUGUUCACAAGAGAUUUUCGGAGAAAUUUAAUUUGUGGACUUGAACUUGAGUGUUCAUGUUGUAUCUUUGUUGAUUUGAUGCGAUGCGGUUCAAUCUCUAGAAUUUGAUCAUCUGAUUCUCUCUCGACUGAAUGCCUACGCUUGAUUUGGAGGAAGCGGAGCACAUGACAUUCUUGACGUUUGUUGAACGUCUACGCUUGAUUUGGAAAAGCGGAACACGUAAUGUGGAAAAGCGGAACACGUAAUGUUCUUCAAGUUGGUUGAAUGCUUACGCUUGAUUUGAGGAAGCGGAACACGUGAUGUUCUUGAAGUUGAAGUCUUGGAAGAAAGUUUGUAUCUUCAAAUGAGCUUCAAUCUUCGAGGGUCGACUUCAGGAGUUAGGGAAUUUUCUAGUUUUUGGGAGAAUUCUCUCUAGACCUUUUGGAGUAAAAAAUUUCCAACAUCUACAAAUGAUGAAAAUUUCUCUAUUUAUAGAGUUCACUGGUGGGCUUUAUGGGCUUGAACCUGAUUGGUCCAUGGACCAGACCCAUGGGCCCAACCAUAUGGAUUUAGGUUAUAUUUAAUCUUUUGCUUAUUUUUGGGCUUAAUUGAACCAAAAUGAUUAACUUAAUCCAAUGAUUAAGAUAAAAACAUGUGACAUUAUUAGAAUGGUCAAUUUAUGUUUUUCAAUUCUUUAA